This 843-nucleotide ribosomal RNA is filed under the name Triticum aestivum (bread wheat). Its description in RNAcentral is "partial small subunit ribosomal RNA". The record is from RNAcentral. Lineage: Eukaryota; Viridiplantae; Streptophyta; Magnoliopsida; Poales; Poaceae.
AUGGGCUCGACAUGGGUUGAACAUAGGGUUUUUGGCCUGAGCAUGCAAGUGUAUGGCCGGGUCAAUAAGUACGUGAUCAAUAUGUUGGGAAAAGCAGUAAUGGCCGAGCAAACUGAAAAGGAUAGGCUCAAUCUUCUCCCGCGAAGUUACUGGUCAAGAUACUAUGUCGAAUGCGACAUUGCUAAAUUAUUCCAAAAGGCAUUUGAAACUCCAUUGGCGUUAUCUGUUCACCUGAGGGAGACAAUGAUAGGAUUCCAUCUUGACCGAAUUCACAUGGUGUUUUUACCUUUAAGCUCGUACAGUUUCUGGUACACGGUUGUUGCUAACUUUAGGAAGAAAAUGUUCGAAGUCCUCUGCCCAAACAACAGAAUCGACUUGAUUGCUGAUGAAGCUCAGCUUGUAAUCAAGAAUUUCAAAGCGGCUUUCAAGCUGGCAUACAAGAGAUCACAAGUAAAUGUGACUGACAUGGGUGUGUCUUUCCGGAGUGUGUGCUCUUCAACUAAAGAGGCAGAUAGUGGGAUCUUCACAAUGAAGUUGGUACAAGGACAUGAUGGAGACAACACUUUGUGUUUCGAACCCGAGCAUGCAAAGAGCAUGCGCGAGAGUCUAACUUACUACAUGGUUGCUCACCCUUGCAAUGAAAACCUGAUGCCAGAAACCAAAGAACUCUUAAGAAAAUAUGUGUUCCAUUUGACUACUCGACUCCAGGGUAUUCUCCAUGGGGUCCUGUUGCACAACAAUGUUAACUACAUCUGGCUGGAAAAGAUCAUCCCAACAGGACUAAAUCAUGACCCUAAGAUAGAUGGAGGAUCACCCAAGGAUGGCAAAAUGCCGUACACAUGA